UCCCUGGUGGCUCAGAUGGUAAAGCAUCUGCCUGCAAUGCAGGAGACCCGGGUUCGAUCCCUGGGUUGGGAA
Transfer RNA from Ovis aries (sheep), 72 nucleotides. It matches the Rfam family "tRNA". Rfam says of the family: Transfer RNA (tRNA) molecules are approximately 80 nucleotides in length. Their secondary structure includes four short double-helical elements and three loops (D, anti-codon, and T loops). The record is from Rfam. Lineage: Eukaryota; Metazoa; Chordata; Mammalia; Artiodactyla; Bovidae.